CUAGGGAAGAGGGACUUGGAAAGGCUGUCUGAAUCUGGCCUUUGAGACUUUGAACUUGGUGGCUAUGCCAAGGUUCUUUGACUGCAAGUCUCAAAAUCUGAUCCUAAGUUAUUAAGAAGGAAAAAGGAAAUUUCUGGAAGGAUAAGGGCUGAGACUGUUCCCGAGCUGAUUGAGGUGGCCGUGGCAAAGAGGGGUGUGGUCCCCAAAGGAGAUAUGAAGCUGUGUCCAGGAAAAUUGUGAUACAGACAGGAACAGGAACAAGAGACCUCCCCUUCCCUGAAGGUUCUUAUCCAGCUUGAUGACUCAUCCUCAGGAGCAUCCAAGUACCACAGAGCUUUUCAAACUGGGGUCAAGACUUAUUCGUGAUCAAAAAGCCAAUUUAGUGGCUCACGACCAGCAUUUUUAUUAAUGAAGAAACCAAAAUGCAUUUCACAUUCUGAGCCUUCCAGGUAAAGCCACCAAUCCAUGCUAAGGACAGAGAAGACAUCGAUAUUUCGGCCUGAAUUUUAAACAGUGCUUUAUAGUGAGCAGAAUGUCAGGAACCUGGAAAGAGCUUGGGAAAGACACAUUUUUCAUGAUUUGUCAUCAGGAACUGUGAUAACUCAGCCAUGAGCUCACAACUCAGAGACCUACACUGCUCACAUUUGAAAGCUGAAUGAAAUUCUGCACAGCACUUCCCCGGAAUACCUCAUCUCC
Dama dama (fallow deer) is the source of this 696-nucleotide long non-coding RNA. RefSeq lists it as uncharacterized. Lineage: Eukaryota; Metazoa; Chordata; Mammalia; Artiodactyla; Cervidae. The record is from RefSeq and is a predicted model, not a curated record. The transcript is spliced from 5 exons.